RNAcentral lists this long non-coding RNA (215 nucleotides) under Homo sapiens (human). RNAcentral's name for it is "non-protein coding lnc-IRF4-10:2". Lineage: Eukaryota; Metazoa; Chordata; Mammalia; Primates; Hominidae. The record is from RNAcentral.
AAUACUUUUCAUCACACUUAGGUUUCAAAGCCUAUUCAUGUGAAUUAUGUGCUGUGCUUCUCGUUAACCUCCUGCAAAUCUAAUAUAAUGGAGACACAGAACAUAAUAGUAGAUGCUGAGUUGGAGUGAGAUCCAAGGUUUUGGAGCUGAGGAAGUUGAAGCCAUUGAAAAACGGCUUGUAAUACUUGGCAUGUAUGCUUGAGACAUGCUUGUUC